Molecule: ribosomal RNA, 468 nt
Filed under: uncultured bacterium
Lineage: Bacteria
Description: partial 16S ribosomal RNA
Rfam family: Bacterial small subunit ribosomal RNA
Source: RNAcentral
GACGAACGCUGGCGGCGUGCUUAACACAUGCAAGUCGAACGGAAAGGCCCUGCUUUUGUGGGGUGCUCGAGUGGCGAACGGGUGAGUAACACGUGAGUAACCUGCCCUUGACUUUGGGAUAACUUCAGGAAACUGGGGCUAAUACCGGAUAGGAGCUCCUGCUGUAUGGUGGGGGUUGGGAGGUUUCGGCGGUUGGGGAUGGACUCGCGGCUGAUCAGCUUGUUGGUGGGGUAGUGGCUUACCAAGGCUUUGACGGGUAGCCGGCCUGGGAGGGUGACCGGCCACAUUGGGACGAAGAUACGGCCCAGACUCCUACGGGAGGCAGCAGUGGGGAAUAUGGCACAAUGGGCGGAAGCCUGAUGCAGCAACGCCGCGUGCGGGAUGACGGCCUUCGGGUUGUAAACCGCUUUCGCCUGUGACGAAGCGGGAGUGACGGUAAUGGGUAAAGAAGCACCGGCUAACUACGUG